RNAcentral lists this transfer RNA (72 nucleotides) under Apaloderma vittatum (bar-tailed trogon). It matches the Rfam family "tRNA". From Rfam's summary of the family: Transfer RNA (tRNA) molecules are approximately 80 nucleotides in length. Their secondary structure includes four short double-helical elements and three loops (D, anti-codon, and T loops). Further hydrogen bonds mediate the characteristic L-shaped molecular structure. tRNAs have two regions of fundamental functional importance: the anti-codon, which is responsible for specific mRNA codon recognition, and the 3' end, to which the tRNAs corresponding amino acid is attached (by aminoacyl-tRNA synthetases). tRNAs cope with the degeneracy of the genetic code in two manners: having more than one tRNA (with a specific anti-codon) for a particular amino acid; and 'wobble' base-pairing, i.e. permitting non-standard base-pairing at the 3rd anti-codon position. Lineage: Eukaryota; Metazoa; Chordata; Aves; Trogoniformes; Trogonidae. The record is from Rfam by way of RNAcentral.
GGCCGGUUAGCUCAGUCAGUUGAGCGUAGAGCUAACAACGCUAAGGUCACGGGUUCGAUUCCCGUUCGGUCC